GGAGGGUGCAAGCGUUAUCCGGAUUCNCUGGGUUUAAAGGGUGCGUAGGAGGGUAGGUAAGUCAGUGGUGAAAUCUUCGAGCUUAACUCGGAAACUGCCGUUGAUACUAUCUAUCUUGAAUACCGUGGAGGUGAGCGGAAUAUGUCAUGUAGCGGUGAAAUGCUUAGAUAUGACAUAGAACACCAAUUGCGAAGGCAGCUCGCUACACGAAUAUUGACUCUGAGGCACGAAAGCGUGGGGAUCAAACAGGAUUAGAUACCCUGGUAGUCCACGCCCUAAACGAUGGAUACUCGACAUACGCGAUACACAGUGUGUGUCUGAGCGAAAGCAUUAAGUAUCCCACCUGGGAAGUACGACCGCAAGGUUG
Molecule: ribosomal RNA, 367 nt
Filed under: uncultured bacterium
Lineage: Bacteria
Description: bacterial SSU rRNA
Rfam family: Bacterial small subunit ribosomal RNA
Source: RNAcentral